Molecule: long non-coding RNA, 265 nt
Filed under: Nicotiana benthamiana
Lineage: Eukaryota; Viridiplantae; Streptophyta; Magnoliopsida; Solanales; Solanaceae
Description: long non-coding RNA (NBEN_LNC036274)
Source: RNAcentral
UCUAGAAGAGGGUCACGGCUGGUUGUAGAGAUCUGGUCGCUGGGUUUUGGGUGGCAGAAUGAAGGUAGAGAUAGGGUCGUUUGGUGUGAGGUAUUGCCGCUGGGAAUGGGGUUCUCUUCGGGUGUCCAGGGGUCUGUUUUUUUAUGUUUCAGAAGAUGAGAAUUGGUAGGGAGGUCACUAAUUCUGCCGCAAGGGUCUGGCGGAGAUGGCAGCGGUGACGGAGUGUGUUGAAGGUGAAAUUAGGGAUUCUUAAAGUUGAAGACGG